AACGCGAAGAACCUUACCAGGUCUUGACAUCCCGCCGACCGCCUAGGAGACUGGGCCUUCCCUUCGGGGACGGCGGUGACAGGUGGUGCAUGGUUGUCGUCAGCUCGUGUCGUGAGAUGUUGGGUUAAGUCCCGCAACGAGCGCAACCCUUGAUCUUAGUUGCCAGCAUUCAGUUGGGCACUCUAAGGUGACUGCCGGUGACAAACCGGAGGAAGGUGGGGAUGACGUCAAAUCAUCAUGCCCCUUAUGAGUUGGGCUACACACGUGCUACAAUGGACGGUACAAAGGGCGGCGAAGCCGCGAGGUGGAGCCAAUCCCAGAAAGCCGUUCUCAGUUCGGAUUGCAGGCUGCAACUCGCCUGCAUGAAGUCGGAAUCGCUAGUAAUCGCAGGUCAGCAUACUGCGGUGAAUACGUUCCCGGGUCUUGUACACACCG
This 435-nucleotide ribosomal RNA is filed under the name uncultured bacterium. RNAcentral's name for it is "bacterial SSU rRNA". It matches the Rfam family "Bacterial small subunit ribosomal RNA", at positions 958 to 1392 of the family's 1533-position model. The record is from RNAcentral.